CCUACGGGGGGCAGCAGUGGGGAAUAUUGCGCAAUGGGCGAAAGCCUGACGCAGCGACACCGCGUGAGGGAUGAAGGUCUUCGGAUCGUAAACCUCUGUCAGCAGGGAAGAACGGUCACUGUGCUAAUCAGCAGUGAAUUAACGGUACCUGACGAAUAAGCCACGGCUAACUACGUGCCAGCAGCCGCGGUAAUACGUAGGUGGCAAGCGUUAUCCGGAUUUACUGGGUGGAAAGGGCGUGUAGGCGGGGAAGCAAGUCAGAUGUGAAAACCACGGGCUCAACCUGUGGCCUGCAUUUGAAACUGUUUUUCUUGAGUGCUGGAGAGGCAAUCGGAAUUCCGUGUGUAGCGGUGAAAUGCGUAGAUAUACGGAGGAACACCAGUGGCGAAGGCGGAUUGCUGGACAGUAACUGACGCUGAGGCGCGAAAGCGUGGGGAGCAAACAGGAUUAGAUACCCCAGUAGUC
This 465-nucleotide ribosomal RNA is filed under the name uncultured bacterium. RNAcentral's name for it is "partial 16S ribosomal RNA". It matches the Rfam family "Bacterial small subunit ribosomal RNA", at positions 338 to 795 of the family's 1533-position model. The record is from RNAcentral.